RNAcentral lists this small RNA (118 nucleotides) under Corynebacterium halotolerans YIM 70093 = DSM 44683. RNAcentral's name for it is "Actinobacteria sRNA Ms_IGR-7". It matches the Rfam family "Actinobacteria sRNA Ms_IGR-7". The record is from Rfam by way of RNAcentral. Lineage: Bacteria; Bacillati; Actinomycetota; Actinomycetes; Mycobacteriales; Corynebacteriaceae.
GAGAGAUGCCCUCCUGAGUUGGGGAUAUGGACCUUCGACAAGUCGUAUUAUCCCAGCCCAGAAGGGCAUUUCUUUUAUUCCCACGCCGCUGGAACCCAAACUACAUCGGUGGAUCCAG